UCUCCGUUGGUGAACCAGCGGAGGGAUCAUUACAGGAUCGAAAGACUCCUAUAACCCCUGUGAACUUACUACAAAUACGUUGCUUCGGCGGGUGCCCCGGGUCUCCCGGGGCGUUCAGCCCGCCGGCAGCCUUCAAAUUCUGUUUCUUUGCGUUGGCAUCUCGAGUAUACAAAAAUAAGUUAAAGCUUUCAACAACGGAUCUCUUGGUUCUG
This 212-nucleotide unclassified non-coding RNA is filed under the name plant metagenome. Its description in RNAcentral is "partial contains small subunit ribosomal RNA, internal transcribed spacer 1, and 5.8S ribosomal RNA". The record is from RNAcentral.